This 211-nucleotide long non-coding RNA is filed under the name Nicotiana benthamiana. RNAcentral describes it as "long non-coding RNA (NBEN_LNC013949)". Lineage: Eukaryota; Viridiplantae; Streptophyta; Magnoliopsida; Solanales; Solanaceae. The record is from RNAcentral.
UUUUAAACUGGUGACUUAAGACAUCAUAAAAUAUCCCAAGUGGCAACUCUGAUUUUUUAAUAAUUAAUCCCGUUUCGAUUUUUACUUAAAUUGGAAAAAAAAAUCCCUUUAUUAUGCUAUUCCGGGGUGUAGUAGGAAAAAAGAGGUGUGACAAUAUGUCAAAUAGAAAUAAUUGAGACUAAGACGUGAUAUAAUAUGCAUGAACAUGAUU